GACGAACGCUGGCGGCGUGCUUAACACAUGCAAGUCGAACGGAAAGGCCCUGCUUGCAGGGUACUCGAGUGGCGAACGGGUGAGUAACACGUGGGUGAUCUGCCCUGCACUUCGGGAUAAGCCUGGGAAACUGGGUCUAAUACCGGAUAGGAGCCAUUUUUAGUGUGAUGGUUGGAAAGUUUUUUCGGUGUAGGAUGAGCUCGCGGCCUAUCAGCUUGUUCGUGGGGUAAUGGCCUACCAAGGCGGCGACGGGUAGCCGGCCUGAGAGGGUGGACGGCCACAUUGGGACUGAGAUACGGCCCAGACUCCUACGGGAGGCAGCAGUGGGGAAUAUUGCACAAUGGGCGCAAGCCUGAUGCAGCGACGCCGCGUGGGGGAUGACGGCCUUCGGGUUGUAAACUCCUUUCGCUAGGGACGAAGCUUUUGUGACGGUACCUAGAUAAGAAGCACCGGCUAACUACGUG
This 464-nucleotide ribosomal RNA is filed under the name uncultured bacterium. RNAcentral's name for it is "partial 16S ribosomal RNA". It matches the Rfam family "Bacterial small subunit ribosomal RNA", at positions 28 to 507 of the family's 1533-position model. The record is from RNAcentral.